This 724-nucleotide long non-coding RNA is filed under the name Arabidopsis lyrata. Its description in RNAcentral is "long non-coding RNA (ALYR_LNC002588)". The record is from RNAcentral. Lineage: Eukaryota; Viridiplantae; Streptophyta; Magnoliopsida; Brassicales; Brassicaceae.
GGUAAUGAAGUAUAAACUCCUAAACCGCUGUAGAACCCUGUGGAACUAGAGGAUUCCAACACAUGUUUAAUGACAAGUUAUCACCCACACAGUUUGGUAAUUUGUCGGUAGACUACUUCAAAGAAAAACUGAAAAGAGAAGGAUAUUAGGAACACCCCCAAGAACUUUUCCGAGAACACAAAUAAAAAGAAGAAACAAAAAAAACGAAGCUUUCUGUCAACGGAGUCGACACAAUGAAUUUUUCAGUAGUCUCCUUUUGUCGUAUCCCAGCAUUAGAUGAGCAGUAAACCACUGUUUUCAUCUCUAUCUUCUUGUGAAGAUCAUAGCCUAUGAGGUCAAAGUCAGCAGCCACAAAAUAAUCUAUUUGUUUCUUCUCAAGGUUAAUCUUCAAAGCCUGCAGUAGUGAGGCCACGGUGAAAAACAUGUGUUAAAUGUUACACUAGUCUAACUUAAGAUUGAAAAAAUUUAUCAAUUUAUAGCCACAAAAGGGUAUUUGUGUCGAGACACUAAGGGUCAUUUAUACAGAAUAAAAACAAGCUUUGUGCCGUCGGAAUCGACACAAUCAAUUUGUCGGUAGUCUCCUUUUGGUCAUAUCCCAGUACAAGAUACAGCACUAAACCGCCAUUUUCAUCUCUAUCUUCUUGUGAGGAUCAUAUCCUGUAAGGUCAAAGUCAGCAGCCACAAAAGAAUCGAUUUGUUUCUUCUCCGGGUUUAUUUUCAAAAC